This 301-nucleotide ribosomal RNA is filed under the name uncultured bacterium. Its description in RNAcentral is "partial 16S ribosomal RNA". It matches the Rfam family "Bacterial small subunit ribosomal RNA", at positions 509 to 807 of the family's 1533-position model. The record is from RNAcentral.
CAGUAGCCGCGGUAACACGGAGGGUGCAAGCGUUAAUCGGAAUUACUGGGCGUAAAGCGCACGCAGGCGGUCUGACAAGUCAGAUGUGAAAUCCCCGGGCUUAACCUGGGAACUGCAUUUGAAACUGUCAGGCUGGAGUCUUGUAGAGGGGGGUGGAAUUCCAGGUGUAGCGGUGAAAUGCGUAGAGAUCUGGAGGAAUACCGGUGGCGAAGGCGGCCCCCUGGACAAAGACUGACGCUCAGGUGCGAAAGCGUGGGGAGCAAACAGGAUUAGAGACCCCUGUAGUCCCUGUCUCUUAUAC